CGGGCAGGCCUAACACAUGCAAGUCGAGCGGCAGCGGGAAGUAGCUUGCUACUUUGCCGGCGGAGCGGCGGACGGGUGAGUAAUGUCUGGGAAACUGCCUGAUGAGGGGAUAACUACUGGAAACGGUAGCUAAUACCGCAUGACCUCGCAAGAGCAAAGUGGGGACCUUCGGGCCUCACGCCAUCGGAUGUGCCCAGAUGGGAUUAGCUAGUAGGUGAGGUAAUGGCUCACCUAGGCGACGAUCCCUAGCUGGUCUGAGAGGAUGACCAGCCACACUGGAACUGAGACACGGUCCAGACUCCUACGGGAGGCAGCAGUGGGGAAUAUUGCACAAUGGGCGCAAGCCUGAUGCAGCCAUGCCGCGUGUGUGAAGAAGGCCUUAGGGUUGUAAAGCACUUUCAGCGAGGAGGAAGGGUUCAGUGUUAAUAGCACUGUGCAUUGACGUUACUCGCAGAAGAAGCACCGGCUAACUCCGUG
Molecule: ribosomal RNA, 477 nt
Filed under: uncultured Yersinia sp.
Lineage: Bacteria; Pseudomonadati; Pseudomonadota; Gammaproteobacteria; Enterobacterales; Yersiniaceae
Description: bacterial SSU rRNA
Rfam family: Bacterial small subunit ribosomal RNA
Source: RNAcentral